CAGAUGAUCUUUAGGGUCCUUUCCAAGCCAAACCAUUCAAGGAUUUCAUCAUUCUACCAUGCCCACCUCCCAGUGUGGAGCGGCCCUGAAACUUCUGUGACAUCACAGCUCCCACAGUGUUCCAGGUGGAACGUCCAGCACCUGGAAACCACCACAGCAGACACUCUGCCUGCUGCCAGCGCUCAGUUGGCGCUCGCUCUGCGCUCUGCCCGUCAGCACUCAGCUGUUGCUGCUGCUGCCUGGCCUUUUCCUGCUGCCUGCUCUGGAGCACCAAUCCCAGCAGGAUGAGCACUGCUGCUCCAGUGGAGACUGCCAGAGACAUUGUGGAGGAAAUGGAAGUGGACAUGGUGCAGGCUGAGGAAGAGAUGAUGGAGGUGGACGUGGAAGAGCAGGUUGAGGAGAUGGAAGUAGAUGUGGAGGAUGACAUCGAGGAGAUGGAAGUGGAUGAGGAAGAUGAGGAGGAGCCCAUGGUCCUUGGAUGAAGUUGGAGCCCCACAAGACUGAUGCCGAUGAGGGUCACCGAUGUGACACCUCUGUAAAUAUGUUUGAAACAGUAGAAGAAUUCUGUAAAUAUGUUUGAAACCGUAGAAGAAUUCUGUAAAUAUGUUCUGCGGUUAGAAGUUCUCUGUAAUUAUGUUUCAAAGAUUGUUAGUCCAUAGGAUCCCAUGUAAAUAUGUUCUGUAGAUUGUUAUUGUUGUUGUUAUAAGGAUUGUUGUAAUGAAAGAUGUUCUGUAAAUACUCGUGUUUGCUGAUCUUUGGCAAAUAAAUACUGCUUCUUUUUAAAA
This is a long non-coding RNA of Passer domesticus (house sparrow), 785 nucleotides long. RefSeq lists it as uncharacterized. NCBI's taxonomy places the organism in Eukaryota, Metazoa, Chordata, Aves, Passeriformes, Passeridae. The transcript has 3 exons. The record is from RefSeq and is a predicted model, not a curated record.